This 301-nucleotide ribosomal RNA is filed under the name uncultured bacterium. Its description in RNAcentral is "partial 16S ribosomal RNA". It matches the Rfam family "Bacterial small subunit ribosomal RNA", at positions 509 to 807 of the family's 1533-position model. The record is from RNAcentral.
CAGUCGCCGCGGGAACACGGAGGGCGCGAGCGUUACCCGGAUUUACUGGGCGUAAAGGGCGUGUAGGCGGCCUGGGGCGUCCCAUGUGAAAGGCCACGGCUCAACCGUGGAGGAGCGUGGGAUACGCUCAGGCUAGAGGGUGGGAGAGGGUGGUGGAAUUCCCGGAGUAGCGGUGAAAUGCGCAGAUACCGGGAGGAACGCCGAUGGCGAAGGCAGCCACCUGGUCCACUUCUGACGCUGAGGCGCGAAAGCGUGGGGAGCAAACCGGAUUAGAUACCCCGGUAGUCCCUGUCUCUUAUAC